UACGUAGGGACCAAGCGUUGUUCGGAUUUACUGGGCGUAAAGGGCGCGUAGGCGGCCCGAUUAGUCCGCUGUGAAAGUCCAGGGCUCAACCCUGGAAUGCCGGUGGAUACUGUCGGGCUAGAGUCCGGAAGGGGCGAGUGGAAUUCCUGGUGUAGCGGUGAAAUGCGCAGAUAUCAGGAGGAACACCAAUGGCGAAGGCAGCUCGCUGGGACGUGACUGACGCUGAGACGCGAAAGCGUGGGGAGCAAACAGG
Molecule: ribosomal RNA, 253 nt
Filed under: uncultured bacterium
Lineage: Bacteria
Description: partial 16S ribosomal RNA
Rfam family: Bacterial small subunit ribosomal RNA
Source: RNAcentral